This is an RNA transcript of Drosophila bipectinata, 3944 nucleotides long. RefSeq lists it as uncharacterized. The record is from RefSeq and is a predicted model, not a curated record. Lineage: Eukaryota; Metazoa; Arthropoda; Insecta; Diptera; Drosophilidae.
AGUUUUCAGUUGAGUUCUGUUUCUGUUCGGUUCAGUUCGGUUCGGUUUUCUUGCGUUUUUCCAAGAUUUCCAUUUUUCUUUCCGUUUUUUUGUUGAAACUGUCUUGUGUUUCGUCAUAAAAGUACCAUUUUGGAUUAUUUUUUUUUGGAUUAAAUCAAAGACCAACGUUUGACUUUGUGGCUCUACCGACACUCCGACGACGAUGACGACGUUGAUCCGUGGGAUUACCUCGCGCCGGAACUGAACGAUGGAUCUGGCAGAUCAAAUCGAUGACUAUAUCUGUUCGUUCGAAGGACUUGGCGACUUAACAAUGGACUCCCUGGCCAUCUUCAUCUUCCUGUGGGCCGUGCUGGCCCUCUUCUCCGUCUGGCUGAUCAAGCUCCUCUACCACAAGUAUCUCAACAAGGGCAAGGCACCCAGCGCCGCCACCAGCCGCCAGAGCAGCGUGGCCCCCGGCUCGGGAUCCCCCACCUCCGGCUCCGGCAAGACUGAGAAGCGUCUCUCCGAGCCACGCGACCUCCUGGCUACCAAGAGCAAGGUGGCCGAGGAUUUGGCCAAGCCCCUGGCUGCAGGAGCGGCCGGUGGAGCUAGAGGCCGCUCGUCAGCCUCACCGCUGAACUCCGCCGCUGCCGGUCCACGUCGUCGGGUGGUGCGUCAGAGCUCCACGGGUCCCGAGAACCGCAAGAAGCGGUAUGUGCCGCCGCCCUCCAAUGUUGUGGGCCCCGAAACGAGCUCCGUCACCUGGACCAGCCAGGUGUUCCGCUGGCUAUACAGCGACCUGGUCAUCGUCAACGAACUGCUCAUGUCCUGGGUGAUUGCCAUUAACGACUCGCUGCGCAAAUCCGUGGAGGAGCAUGGAGUGGCCGUGGAGGUUGUCCGAGUGCUGCCCGACAGCCCUGCUCCCGGCCUGAACAACAUCUUCUGCAACUGCGAUGAGAACAAUCCCGCCGACAUGCUCAUCACCUUCGACUGUGACGCCAUGCCGGUGCUGCAGGUGAAGACUUUCCGGCAGAAGGCGGGCAAGGUGGAGACCUCCCACUACAAGGUCACCGUGUCGAGGUUCCGAGCCCGCAUGGCCAUUCCCAUGAACUACAACACCCUCAAGGGUGAGAUGCGCGUCGAGGGCUAUCCAGAUGUCCGCAUCGCGAUGAACAGCGUGGGCGCCAUCAAGCCGAUGGACCAGGACGAGCAGCAGCUCCAGACGGUGAUCAGCGACAUCCUGACGACGGCGCUGCGCGACACCGUCUACCCGGUGGACUUCUCCAUCUACUCCACCUGCCCCCGAGCGGAUGUGGAGCCAUUGGAGCUGCCCCACAACAUGGAGCAUCUGAGCGGUGGCCUGAGGGACUCCCAGCGCAUGGUUUCCGGCCGCCGGCUGCUGGUGAAGAUCGUCAAGGGUGAGGGACUGCGGGACGCCCACGAUCCCUACGUGGUCAUCGAAAUGGACGAGCCGGCCCAGAAGAACCAGACGGGAACCCAGCGCGGCAGCAAGCCCUACUGGGACGAGCACUUUCUCUUUGAACUCUCCCCGCAAUCUGCCGAGAUCCUCUUUGAGGUCUACGACCAUCCGGUGAUUGCCUCGGAUCCGCCCAAGUUCCUGGGUCUGGGCCUGGUGGGCAUCGACGAGCUGGCCGUAGGUCCAGCCUCCACGCAGCUCCUGCAGCUACAGCCACGUCCUUACGAGACCCAGCCCGUGUCGGGAGCCAUCACCGUGGACUUUGUGUUCAUCGAGGGAGCCGAAAUCCCGGCUGGCACGCGCCCCCAGCACCUGAAGGAGGCGCUGCGCAUCAGCACUCCGGCCAUCAACGAGCACAUCCGGAACGGAGCCGACCUGGCGGACGCAGCCGUGCGCGCUCUGCAAGACGGAGCCCUCUCCGGCACCGGAAACGGCGGCCAGCCCAGCAAGAGCACCCUGAUCAUCCACAGCGUACAGCGGAACUCGACCGGCCCGAAUGCAUUUAAGGUUGCGCUGAACGAGGACGGCAGACUCGAGGUGACCCAGGCCCCGACGGAGCUGGAUGAGGCGGUGGCCCAGGCCUUCGAGCGGGCUGCCAGCGAGGCCCAGGCCGAGCUCCAGCUCCAGGAGAAGCAGGCCGACGCGGAGGUGGCCGACGCCAACGACUCAGGUAACAACACCAUCAACGAGGAUAGCACCGCCGAGUAUGGCCAGCCCAACGCCGCCUCCUCGCCCAACGGCAGCAGCUACCACAACAACUACAGCCUGAAUGGCAAUGGAAACGGCAACACGAACGGAUCCGGCUACAACAGCCUGCCCCGGAACGGAGGUGGAGGACUCUCUGCCUCCCAGCUGGCCCAGCAGAACUCAUCCGGCUAUAUGGAUGGCAGCGACGUGGUCGAUGAUCGCGGGCGCAGCAAAAAACGUAAUUUCUUUGGUACCCUGAAGAAGCGGCUCAGCCGCUCCAAGACACGCACCCUCUCGGCCGACCAACCGCCCAAUAAUAACAGUCAUAAGUCACUAUCAGCCACCAACUCGUCAGCCACUGGACUCCCUCGAACAGCCACCGGAACCCUCAAUGGUGAAUCUUCCCGUUCAUUAUCUGUCGAUCGUGCCACUCUGUCCAAAAGCAAUUCACUUGGACCCCGCAUGGGCAUCGGGCACUCCAUCACCGACCACUCACGUCGCUCCUCAAUUUCAGAAUCCUCGGCCAUCUCAGGCUUCUCCUCGGCGAGCAACAAGACCUACGUGCACGAGGCCUCCACCCUGGUGCUGGAGACCAUCGAGAACGGCGUAAAGCGCCACUUUAUUGUGCCUUUGGCCAUCGCCCAGAGACCCCGCUGGAGGCGCAAGGGCACCAAGCUGCACAUCUACAACGACCACACCUUCAUCGCCAAGCAUUUGAGCGGAAGCGGCCUACAGUGCUCCAUCUGCAUGAAGUCGAUCCCGCGGAGGCCCGGAAAGCAGGGCUACGAAUGCCGCGACUGCCAGCUGAUCUGUCACAAGCAGUGUCACAUACGGGCGCCCCAGUCCUGUCCCAAUCCCACGGUGCUCUCCAUGGAACUAACAUCAUUUCCGGUACUCACAGAGAGAGAUAUUAACCUAGUUAACUAGAGCCAUUUAUUUUGUGUCCCAAUCUUAAUUUUGUAAAAGCCUUGAGUCCGCCAAAUGCAGUUUGAUAUUUAACAAAAGCGAUUUUGAUUUUAUUUGAAUUCGGCGUCAGAAGUGGAAAUUACAGAUUUGGGCUUUGUUUUCCGGCUUCCGGCUCCCGCCAUCCCCCAGCAACCACCCCACCAUUUAUAGCCACCUCGCUUUUGGCCACGCUUCUCAUUUUGUUGUAUUGUUUUUUUAUGGGCACUAAUCCGAGCUCUUCUCUCAUCGCACCCACUUCACCAUCGAUCGACCAACCAUCCGUCCCCCUGGAGCAGGAUGACAAGUGAUCAGACCUAGUAGAAACAACACCAUCCAGCAUAAGUACAGCAUAAGUCCAGGGGCCAGGCCACUUUCUGACGCCAAUAUAUUUCAAAGACCCGUCCACACACUCUCCAACUUCGAUUCGUAAACCACAGCAGGGCCCUUUAGAUUCCUCCAGCAGAAGUUAUUAGAGGUUCGAGCGUUUUCCAGUUGGCCUUUGGCAACUGGGAAAUCGGGGACCAAACUUAACUCAGCUGCGGCGGACCGCAGCAUCCGGAAGCUGUGAAGGGGAACCCCGGAACGUCCGAGGUACCCAUCCGAAAACCUUAAUCGAAAUACUAAUCCUAGUUAGUCUAGACGGAGGAGGAGAAGCUGUGCGAGCUAUCUACGCUGCUAUGGGAAUCCUUGAUACAUCUUAUUUCGUUAUUUAUUUAUACACCAGCGAACACACCACAACCACGUGCAAUAGGUUCUUUGGUUUCGUUUUUAACCCAUUUCUCUGUGUCAACGAGCUCGAGGCCCUUGAUAUUUUGUAUUUUCUACAAAACACGAAUAAUAAUUGUACAAAAUGAAA